This is a non-coding RNA of Acanthosepion pharaonis, 107 nucleotides long. Lineage: Eukaryota; Metazoa; Mollusca; Cephalopoda; Sepiida; Sepiidae. The record is from the annotation of a GenBank genome assembly.
UUAUGGCCAUAUCACAUUGAAACACCAGUUCCCAUACAAAGCUAAGCAACAUCAAGCCUGGUCAAUACCUAGAUGGGUGACCACUUGGGAAUACCAGGGGCUGUAAG